UGUAGACCCUCAAUUUUGUUCCUUUAGCACAUGUCUUUAAAUUCAUUUUUAAUGCUCCAUAGUAACUCCUUGGUGGCCCAUUACUACUCGUACAACUUACCUUUUUCUGAGUCACCUCGGAGACUUCGGUCGAGGGAUUAUCUGACCCUUUAUUGUGACCCUUGGCAACCCUAAUUUAGACUUAGGCUUUUGUUAUUCUUUUUAGGAUAACUUUUAGAUACACCUGACCCAUUAGACACCACCCUAGGCCCACCUAGAUUCACCUUGACUCGCACCGAGACACCUCCUCAUUUACACACAUGUCACUUAGGUCACUUAGACACUUUUUUCAGAACAGGUCCAUUUAGACAUUUCAUUGAGGCUCAACAUUUCUUUUUUAUUUAUUUAUUUAUUUAUUUAUUUUAUUUAUUUAUUUUUUAAUAUUAUUAUUAUUAUGGCAUGCAUUUGGUAAUUACAUUCAUUUUGUCUAUUCAUUUUUACUUUUACUUUUUAUUAUUUACUUAUUCAUGUAUUUAAUUGUCUUUAUAUAUUUCAUUUUAUUUAUUUUUAUUUACUUAUUUACUUACUUAAUGAAAAAUUGUUUGAAUUGUUAGAUUUAAAAUACGCAUAUAGCCCCUUUAUCAAAUGACAGAAUUGUACAAUCUAAUAUUUGAUUUUCUCUUUCAUUAUCUUUUAAUCAUAUUUCAUUUUAUUACCAAUUUCAUGACUUUCAUUAAUUUCUCGUCUUUUCCUUUAAUUUUAAUUUUAUCUUAUUUUGUUUUGCAUGAGGAGCACCAUUUUGGGCAGGAACAAAAGGAUCGUGGGACGAAUUAUCCACAUACAUUAGACCCUAUUCCUUGGAAGCUUCAAGAUCUUCAUACCCAGGGAUAGGAUCACCACGGAUUCUCCACGAAAAAGCAAGGGAAUUAACCGCCAUCUCGACAGGAAGAACCAGUACGCAUGUGUGGGCAUUUUUUUGGUCGUUUGGGAACACAUCAUGAGUUGAAGACAACCAGUCCACGCGCAAGCAUCCCCCACGCCUGUAACUUUUGAGGGGUCCACAUCCCAAUUUCCAUAAGAUCUCCACGGUAUCUUGAAGAGAACCAUGCAUGCCACUCAUUCAAAGUGGGUGGGCUGCAUCUUCCAAAUGUAAGGAGAGACAAGACAAUACGCAUGGAUGAAGGCUUCAUUCUGCUGCCAAUCCAUAACCUGCACGGGCUGCAAUUCAAUGGAUGUACAGUCCACUUUGGGAUUGAUCACCCACCAUGGAGAGUGACCACGGAAUUCUCCAACACUUUGCCCGCAUAUGGAGAAUACCAUGCAUGGACCUUAGGUUGAAACAUCAACGCACACCAGAUUGAUGAGGACGCGGUUCGGGAACUGAGUGGUGAACAUCAGAUUUUUUUAUGGAGCAUGGUAUGGACAAUUGGAUAAAAAGAAACAAAAAUCUGAACCCACUUUAAGAGAAACACAUAGGCCGCACCAUUCUCCAACAAGACAUGGGCUGCAUCCUUGAAGAAAUUGCUAGGUAAGUCACGCAUACAUCACUUCCCAUAUCCACAUGCAUUCAAAAAAGGAAAUAGAAUAUUCAAUGAUGGAGAGGCUGCCAUAAAAAAAUCCCCACUUCCCAUAAGAAGAGGAUCGCUACAUGCUGGUUAUACGAAGGGGAAUUUUGGAGAUCCUCACGCAGCCAUAUAAAGAGGGGCUGCCAUAUAAAUAGGAGGGGGGUUUUUUUUAGCAGAGAUCGACACGAGAGGAGAUUAUUUUUCUGGAGCAAAAGGAGGAUUUUUGGCUUGAGAAGGAGAAAGGCGAGAGGAUUUUUUUUUGAGGAGUAGAGAGAUCCACACGAAGAGGGGAGCCACCUUAACGCAUCAAAGGCAAAUUUUUUUGUUAAUACAGGUGAGUUUUUGAAAUAGUUUUGAUUAUUUUUGUUCGUAAUUCAUAAGUCCAUGCUAAUUUUUGUUUUAAUCCAUGUGAUAGUUAAAAUGUGUUUGUGAGUUUAAUUUAAUUAGUUUUGUCUUAAUUCACUCCUUAGUUUAGUUUUGUUAUUGAUUCUGAUUUCUUAGUUUAAUUAAUUAAUCUUCUUUUAGGUACAAUUUAGGUUUCGAUUUGGUUUAUUAAUUUAUUUUAUUCAUAAUUCUAAUUCAUUGAUAAAAUUGAUUCUUUAUUUGAAAGUUUGCGUUUUUAGGAUGUUUUAAUUUAAUUUGAUUCAUUAUAUUUAGUUUAGAUAUUUGUUAUAGUUUAGUUCAUUAAUGAAAUUGAUCCCAUGUUUAAAAGUUUGCGUUUUUAGGAUGUUUUAAUUUAAUUUGAUUCAUUAUUUUUAGGUGUUUUUUUAUAGUUUUAAUUUAUUAGUAAAAUUGACCCCAUGUUUGAAAGUUCAUAUUUUUAGUAUUCUUUGAUUCAUUUUCGUUCAUUUUAAUUAGUUUAUGUGUUUUUAUAGUUUUACUAGCUUAUUGAUAAAAUUGAUCCUUUAUUUGAAAGUUUGCGUUUUUAGGAUGUUUUAAUUUAAUUUGAUUCAUUAUAUUUAGUUUAGAUAUUUGUUAUAGUUUAGUUCAUUAAUGAAAUUGAUCCCAUAUUUGAAAGUUUCAGUUUUUAGUUCGCUUUGAUUUAAUAAUUUAUAUUCAUUAUUUUUAGGUGUUUUUUUUAUAUAGUUUUAAUUCAUUAGUAAAAUUGAUCCCAUGUUUGAAAGUUCAUAUUUUUAGUAUUCUUUGAUUUAAUUUCGUUCAUUUUAAUUAGUUUAUGUGUUUUUAUAGUUUUAUUAGCUUAUUGAUAAAAUUGAUUCUUUAUUUAAAAGUUCAUGUUUUUAGUGUACUUUGAUUUAAUUUAAUUCAUCUAUUUAGUUUAGACACUCUCACAAUUUUUGGUCCAUCAAUAAAAUUAAUUCCAUGCUUGAAAGUAUAUAUUUUUGGUUUGCCUUGGUUCAUUAGUAGAAUUAAUUCUAUGUUUGAAAGUUCAUGUUUUUAGUUUAAUUUAGUCAAACUCGUUAUAAUUAGUUUAGGUACUUCUAUAAUUUUAGUUCCUUACCCGAAUUGACCCCUUUUUAGUUUUUAUUUCAAAAUCAUUAACGUUAGUUCCUGAUCACCCUUAUCCUAGCUUAUAUGCUUUUAAAAUCCUAGCGGUUAGUUCAUGAAUUGAUACUUUGUUAGUUUGUCUAAUUUAGAAUGUCUUGUCUGUUAGUGAUCCUUCAUUUAAUCUGAUUUUCUUUCUGAGGCCAUUAAAAAUCAUGAAGAUUGGCCUCUACCAUCACCAUUAUCAUUUUUGUUAAUUACUAAAAAAAUUUUACUUUGAGGUUUCAUUUUUGUUUUGUUUGGUAUUUUAUCUCUUAUAUUUUAUUUUUUCCCAAUUUAAUCCCUUUUAUUUUAAAAUAAAAUACUUUUCUCAAAAAAUCAUUUUAAAAAUCUAUUUCAAAAACUCAUUAGAGUCCUCAGGAUCAAAAUUUCCUUUUUUUUAUUAUUUAAAAAUAAUAUGCAACCAUAUCUUGUUCGGUUUGCAUCCUUCUCGGUUUUCAACAAAAAUUUUGGUUUUGAACACUAGUUAAGGAAAAUGUGGCGUCUAAUUGAUCGAUUAGAGGGUACCCCCUUUUCCUAGGCAAGGUGAUUCGAUUUGCUUGUUUGGUUUGCUAUCUUACCAUGUUUGAUUGCCUUGGAUGAUCACUUGAUUGUUUUGCUCACUUUAGCAUGAUUCACUAUCACAUAUAUUAGAUAGGACUUUGUUUGUUUGAUAUUUAUUUGCUUUGCAUGACUGUUUGAAUGAUCACUUGAUUGUUUUGCUCACUUUAGCAUGAUUCACUCUCAUAUAUGCUAGAUAGGACUUUGAUUGUAUGAUACUUAUCUGCUUGGUAUGAUUGCUUGUUGCAUGACAACCCUUUCUCUUGCAUGAUUGUAUGAUUGCUUGUCUUUGUUCACUAUCUCACUUUAGAUCUUAGGUUUUUCGGAUGCACCCACAUCCUUCAUUGUGCACUUUAGAUUAUCCCUGAGUGUUGAGAGAUGGGAGAGCCUUCACCCUUAAGAAACCCCCUGGGAACGCGAGGAAGUGCAUGUGUGGAGGUGAUGACCACCUUGCAUGGAAGCACCCCGUCUCCUUGGAGGCGUGCAGAGGGUUGCGUACCAUCGGAGGGUACGAUCGCUUCUGCUAAGGAUCCUUUGACCCACCCAUUUUAUCCUAUAGAGCCGCCUUAACCUUGUAGGUUAGCCUAGAUCCAAUUAAGAUUUCACUCCUACACGUGGGUGCAUCUAUGGACCUUCAGAGCUACCUUGGUCACAAUUGGAUUCGGUUAUCCCUUCCUUAGUCUCCUUUUGGUGUAAUCAGAGAAGGGUAUCAGAUUGAGUACAUUUGGGCUAUUUUCUUGCACACUUAUCAGCUGAUUCAUACAGAGUCGCUUUCAUACCGCACCUUAUCCAGUGUUUCCAUAUUUGUAGGAGGGUUUACCUUGACCGAUCUGGAUUCACCUUUGUUAGAGUUGGAGGCAGAUUGACCAGAGUAUCAGACCAGUUAGACCAGAGAUCAGAUCAGGGGGAUAUGGAUUCUCAGAUAGUUACCGUUGACCAGUUUGCUGCAGCCAUGGCUUCGAUCCAGGAGGCUAUAGCUAGCCUUGGCCAGAGGAUAGAUGGGCAGCAGGCCCGACAGGUCCCAGUUCAGGAGGAUAUCCAGUUUGAUACCACAGUACCACCACCACCUCCGCACAGUCAGCCAGCACCACAGACUAUACCUUUUACUCUACAUAGUCAGACUGAGGUUGCACCACCUCCUGCCAUAGUGCCUACUUCGAUCUCAGAGGACCCACAUGCUCGUAUGGAUAAACUUGAGCAGAAGUUGAGACAGAUGAGGACUUCAGAGGGAGCUAUUACUUGGGAGGAUUUUGAUGGAGCACCAGUGGCCAGUCUACCGGCCAAGUUCAAGAUGCCUGAGAUUGAGAGAUACACAGGCAUAGGAUGCCCUCACAUCCAUUUGAGACUCUAUAGUACUGUUAUGAAGGCCCAUGGACUGGAUGAUGCCCAGAUGGUUAUGCUCUUCCCUAUGUCAUUGAGUGGUGCUGCAUAGCGUUGGUUCGCUUCAUUGGAGGUAUCACGCCGUAAGACUUGGGAUGACUUAGCCCAGGAGUUUUUGAGACAGUUUGCAUUUAACACUGUCAUUGAUGUUUCGAGGAGAGAGUUGGAGGCUUUGAGACAGAGGCCGGAGGAGUCAAUCACUUCAUUUAUCUCCUGCUGGAGGGAGAAGAUUUCACAGAUUAUAGACCGUCCUUCAGAGAGAGAUCAGAUUGGCAUGAUCAUGAGGAGCUUGCAGCCUAGAUUUGCUAGACACUUGAUGGGAUUUCCCCAUACGGAUUUUGGAUCUUUAGUACAGGCUUUGUAUGGUAUAGAGGAGGGCAUUGCUAGAGGAUUAUGGUCUGAGUCUUCCCCUACUGAUUCUAAGGGGAAGAGGCCUUCAAGAGGACAGAGAUCAGGAGAUGUUGGUGCUAUCAGUUCAGCAGGGAUGAGACCUUCUAGACGCUAUCAGACAGUUGGGCAGACUCCUGGGUACUACUAUCCACCUUCACCUCAUGCGCAUUACAGACCACCUACCCCUUCCAGACCUAUGACUCCUACUUAUCUGCAUCUGGACUCACAGCCCGUUUUUGCUGCACACGUCGCAGAGAGACCUCCUGCCCCAUAUAUUUGACCCCGAGCUCCGCAGACCACUACUUAUGUGCAGAGACCACCACGUCAGUUUGCUCAGUUGGGUAUGCCUUUGAGUCGAGCUUUUCAGAAGCUCGCAGAAGGUGGAUUAUUGACUCCAUUAGCAUCCAGGCCUUUACCCCAGCCCAUACCACCUCGCUUUAGGAUGGACUUACAUUGUUCCUACCAUCAGGGACCAAGGCAUGACACGGACCAUUGCACUGCUUUGAGACAUGCUAUUCAGGAUUUGAUAGAUCAGGGUUUGGUCAACUUGGGGCAGCCAAGUGUGACCACUAACCCUCUUCCUGCUCAUUCUACACACGCAGUGCAUCCAUCUUUAGGAGAUAUUAAUCACAUGGACCUUAUAGAGGAUGACAGUAUACACAUGUUGAGUUGGGAUGAUGGAUUACCUGAGCCGAUUGUUCUGCAUGACAGCUAUGAGAUUGAUGGGGUUUCAUUGGUCCCUCAGACUCCUGCACCAUUCAGUUUGAUCCCGGACGAGGCACCAUUCCAGUUGACUCAUCCUACACCCUUAGUUAUCGGAUGUUAGGAUACUUUUGUCCCUUUCACCUUAUGGCCAGAGGAUGAUGAUUCAGAGGGGAGAGAGAUACAGAUUGUGACUCGUAGUGGGAGGAUAGCUCAGCCACCACCACCAGCAGUCAGACUAUUUGAGGGUACAACCUCUCAUGAGUAGGUUAGGAGAGAGGAUGAUGAGGUUUUGAGACAGAUACAGAGCACUCAGGCUCGCAUUUCCAUCUGGAGUUUAUUAGCAUCGUCCAGUACUCAUAGAGAUGCUUUGAUUCGAGCCUUGAGUCAGAUCAGAGUAGAGACUACCACCACUCCGGAGAGAUUGAUUCAUAUGAUGACGGCUGGCAGGGCCACUUGCAUUGUAUUUUCAGAUGAUGACUUGCCACCUGAUGGUUUAGACCACGUGCGCCCUCUAUACAUCACAGUUGGAUGUUCAGGCCGUAGAGUCCCGUCUGUCCUACUGGACAACGGCUCAGCCUUGAAUGUUUGCCCUUUAGCCACUGCUAUAGCUCUUGGUUUCGCGCCUUCAGAUUUUGGUCCUUCUACUCAGACAGUCAGGGCGUAUGAUAGCACCAAGAGGGAGGUUAUGGGUACCUUGAUGAUUGAUUUACAGAUUGGUCCAGCCACAUUUUCCACUUUGUUCCAGGUUUUGAGGAUUCCUACAUCCUUUAACCUACUACUAGGCCGGCCAUGGAUUCAUGUAGCUGGAGCUAUUCCUUCUUCCCUUCAUCAGAAGGUGAAGUUUAUUCAUGAUAGGUAGGUCAUCACAAUGCGCUCUACUAGGGAUAUAUUUGCCGCUUCUGAGCCAGUACUUCAGAUUAGUCAUAGUGAGGAUGACCUAUUUUUGACUGGAUUUACUUUUAAUGAGAUACAGACUCUCGAGAUUGAGGAUUUUCAUAGAGACUUUGUGGCUAUGUCGUUUGAUCAGCACAGUAGCACAGUGGUCCUUGAUAUGAUGAGGGGUAUGACCUUUCUACCUGGCAUGGGGUUAGGACGACGUCAGCAGGGACCGAGCGAGUUCAUAGCUGCCAUUGACCAUGAUACGACAUUUGGACUUGGAUUCAUCCCUACUGAGGCCAAUUACCGUCACAUGGUGCGGCUGCGCAAGGAGAGGGUGAGAGCCCGUUUAUCCCACACACCAUUUGAUUAUCCUAUUCGACCCUAUAGGAUGAGUUUGGCUGACUACUUUGUCAGAGGAUCAGAGACUCGACCUCGUCUAGAGGAGAUUGAUAGUGCGGUUCAUACAGAUAGAGAGACCGAGCUUCAACAUCUAUUUCACCAGCUACAGUUGAGUGAUGGGGCUCCCGACACUUCUUUCCCUGUGGCGAUUACUCCCACGUCUCCAGAUCGAGCUAGCAUGUUGUCUCUAUGCUUUCCAGAGGAGAUCACGAGUGAUGGGGUAAUUGUUGAUCCUACUGAGGUGAUUGAUGGAGUUGUUCCCCAUGAUGAGUACCGUGAUGAGAUGGACAUGAUGACCGUGAGCCAGAUUGCCGGCAUUGUUCAGCUUCAGCCUGUUUCAGCAUUUGAUAUGUUUGGGGUAUCUACCAUUGAGGUUUUUGAGGGGACUCAGACUCUUCCUGUUCCAGAGCUUCCAGAGGAUGAUAGUAGUUUGUUUAAGGGCAUUGUUAGCCCAGUUGGGGGAGCAUCCGACCUUGUGGACCCACCUCUUUCUUUUGAUGUUUUAUCGGGAUUUAUCUCCUGCUCUGACGAUGUUUCUGUUGCUUCAUUUAUGGAUUUGAGCAUUUUUGAGUAUUCGCCUGUCUCUUGUGAUAGUAUCUCUACAUCUGCACCUCACUCACCCAUUACACAGAUAUUUGAUAUAGAUGAUGAGAUUGCACAGCCCAGUUCGGAUAGGGACUCUUUUGAUCAUGACUCUGGUCCCAUAGAUGAGAGAGUUUCACCUGCUGUAGGGGACAUUGAGACUGUUGAUUUUGGCACAGAGGAUCAGCCUAGAGAGUUGAAGAUUGGUUCACCCCUAUCUACAGAUGAGAGAUAUAGACUCAUCCAUUUACUCAGGUCAUACUUGGAUGUCUUUGCAUGGUCUUAUGAGGACAUGCCAGGUCUUGAUCCCUCUAUAGUCCAGCACCAUUUACCUACCCUACCACAUGGUAGACCGGUUAAGCAGAAAUUGAGACGGUUACAUCCACGUUGGAGUCUACAGGUAAAAGAGGAGAUUCAGAAACAACUCAGUGUUGGGUUCAUAUCAGUAGUUGAGUAUCCAGAGUGGUUGGCUAAUGUCGUCCCUGUUCCUAAAAAGGAUGACAAAGUUAGGGUUUGUGUUGACUUCAGGGAUCUCAAUAAAGCCAGCCCUAAAGAUGACUUUCCCCUUCCACACAUUGAUUUGUUGGUUGAUGGCACUACAGGUCAUUCGAUGUUGUCUUUCAUGGAUGGGUUUUCAGGAUAUAAUCAGAUUUUGAUGGCUCCAGAGGAUAUGGAGAAGACAGCCUUUAUUACUGAGUGGGGUACCUACUGUUACAGAGUUAUGCCAUUUGGGUUGAAGAACGCAGGAGCCACUUAUCAGAGAGCCGCUACCACUUUGUUUCAUGACAUGAUGCAUACGGAUGUCGAGGUUUACGUGGAUGAUAUGAUUGUGAAAUCCUGAGGUAGAGCAGAUCACUUAGAUGCUUUAGAGAGAUUCUUUGAGAGGAUCCAGAAGUUUAGAUUGAGGUUGAAUCCCAAGAAGUGCACCUUUGGAGUGACUUCUGGGAAAUUAUUGGGACAUAUGGUCAGUGAGAGAGGCAUAUAGGUCGACCCAAAUAAAAUCAAAGCCAUACUUGACAUGCCUGCACCGAAGACUGAGAAAGAGAUCAGGAGUUUUCUAGGCAGAUUACAGUACAUCAAUCGAUUCAUAGCUAGAUUGACAGACAUAUGUGAGCCUAUCUUUCGUCUUUUGAGGAAGAACCAGCCAACAGUUUGGAAUGAUGACUGUCAGUUUGCAUUCGAGAAGAUUAAGGAGUAUUUGCUUUCUCCUCCUGUUUUAGUGCCUCCUACGCCAGGACGUCCACUUCUUUUAUAUUUGUCAGUUUCAGACAUGGCCUUGGGAUGUAUGUUAGCUCAGAUUGAUGACUUAGGAAAGGAACGAGAUAUUUACUACCUAAGUAAGAGGAUGUUGGAGUAUGAGAUGAGAUAUGUCAUGAUUGAGCGCCUUUUCUUAGCACUAGUUUGGGCUACCAGGAGAUUGAGGCAUUACAUGACAAAGUAUUCAGUGCAUUUGAUAUCCCGCCUGGACCCGUUGAGAUACUUGUUUGAUAGACCUGCAUUGACUGGUAGAUUGAUGAGAUGGCUCGUACUCCUGACAGAGUUUGAUAUUCAGUAUGUUUCUCAGAAGUCUAUUAAGGGAAGUAUUGUCGCCGAUCAUUUGGCUUCAUUACCGACAUCUGAGGAUAGACCAGUUGAUGAUGAUUUUCCAGAUGAGGAGUUUGUUGCUAUGACCAGCUUAUCAGGAUGGUGCAUGUACUUCGAUGGUGCAGCCAAUCAGUCAGGGUAUGGGAUAGGUGUUCUAUUGGUAUCCCCUCAGGGUGAUCAUAUUCCGAGGUCCGUUCAUUUGGCAUUCUCUGAUCGACAUCCUGCCACGAAUAACAUAGUUGAGUAUGAGGCUUGUAUCCUUGGUUUAGAGACUGCACUGGAGCUUGACAUUAGACAGAUGGAGGUAUUUGGUGACUCCAAUUUGGUACUCAGACAGAUUCAGGGAGACUGGAAGACUAGGGACGUGAAGCUUAGACCAUAUCAUGCAUAUUUAGAGUUGUUGGUUGCGAGAUUUGACGACUUGAGAUAUGUUCAUCUGCCUAGAGCGCAGAACCGAUUUGCUGACGCCUUAGCUACUUCAGCUUCCUCCGUAGACAUUCCGAUUGAUGUAGUCAUACGUCCAUUACUGAUUGAGUCGAGGUCUGCACCCGCCUAUUGUUGUUUGAUUGGAGAGACAGAGGUCCAGGAUGACCUACCUUGGUAUCAUGACAUUUAUCAGUUUCUCAGAUCUGGCACAUACCCUGAGGUAGCCACUACCAAGGAUCGGAGAGCACUGAGGAAUUUGGCCACUAGAUUUGUGAUUUGUGGAGAUACCUUAUACAGGCGAUCAGCUGAUGGUAUGCUCCUAUUAUGUUUAGAUCGAGCCUCUAUGGAUCGAGUGAUGAGAGAGGUUCAUGUAGGAGUUUGUGGUCCGCAUAUGGGAGGACACAUGCUAGCUCGUAAGAUUAUGAGGACGGGCUAUUUCUGGUUGACUAUGGAGACAGAUUGUUGUCAGUUUGUCCAGAAAUGCCCAGAGUGCCAGAUUCAUGGUGAUCUCAUACAUGCACCACCAUCAGAGUUACACGCCUUGACCUCGCCAUGGCCAUUCUCAGUAUGGGGUAUUGAUAUUAUUGGGAAGGUUUCACCAAAAUCUUCCAGUGGUCAUGAGUUCAUCCUGGUUGCCAUAGAUUAUUUCACCAAGUGGGUGGAAGCCGCAUCAUAUGCGAGGUUGACAUCUGUUAGGGUUGCCAGUUUCAUCAGAUCACACAUCAUUUGUCGCUAUGGGGUUCCUCAUGAGUUGAUUUCCGACAGAGGGGCGCACUUCCGAGCUGAGGUAGACACUUUGUUGCAGGAGUAUGGCAUCCGACAUCAUAGAUCUUCUGCAUAUAGGUCACAGACCAAUGGGGCAGUAGAGGCUGCAAACAAGAAUAUUAAGAGGAUUUUGAGGAAAAUGGUUGAGACUUCUCGAGAUUGGUCAGAGAAGCUUCCUUUUGCAUUGUGGGCAUACCGUACCUCUUUUCGUACCUCUACAGGAGCUACGCCUUACUCUCUAGUGUAUGGUAUGGAGGUUGUUUUGCCAGUCGAGACAGAGAUGGGCUCAUUGAGAGUAGCCCUUGAGCAGCAGAUUUCUGAGACAGAGUGGGCUCAGGCUCGAUUUGAUCAGCUUAACCUUUUAGAUGAGAGGAGAUUGAGAGCAGCAGAUCAUGUUCAGGCCUAUCAGAGAAAGAUGGCUCGUGCCUUCAAGAAACGGGUUAAGCCUAGACCAUUGCAAAAAGGGGACUUAGUUUUGAGGAUUCUCAGGGGUUUGAUUGGAGACCCUAGAGGAAAGUUUAGACCUAGUUGGAGUGGGCCUUAUGUUAUCCGAGAGUUGACUCCAGAAGGGGCUGCAUGGUUGACAGACUUAGAUGGAAACCAAUUUUCAGAGCCUACCAAUGUGGAUCAACUGAAGAAGUAUUAUGUUUGAGACCGUGGUCGUAGGAUGGGUGGCCAUCAUUUCGGUUAGCCUCAUACUUUAUCACCUCUAUAUAUUAGACCGUUGCUAGCCCAUUGAGCUUCGCGUGGUAUGUUAUAGCCUUAUUUCUUUCUUAUAGCUUCGAUUACCAUUUCUAUACCCGGGUUGGGACCCUUUGAUGUAUAUGCAUGCUUUGCUAGGAAAGUCUCAUGAGCUUUAGACUUAUAGGUCUAUCUCCUCAUUUUGUUACCAUCCUCUUAUCACCCUAUUUGUUCUAUUUUAUUAUCAUCAUAUAUUCAUUCUCUUUCUUGUCUCUAUCAUUAUUUGCUUCAUCUUAUCUAUUCUCUUCCUUGGGUUGAUGAUUCUUCACGUCUUAGUGCAAAGAGGGCAGUCAUAUCACUCUAUUCAUUCCAUCAUUUGACAUUGAUUCGGAGAUCUUAGUUUGAGAGGUUGUCUCAUGGGUUGGGGUUCAUGUAUUCAUCAGUGAUUUGAGAGAGUUUAUUCACUCCUUGUAUCUUUUCCAUUGGAGUUUGACUUAUUGAUGAUCAGAGCAUGCGCUAAAAAAAAAAAAAAAAAAAAAAAAAAGCGCAAUGACAUGUUUGUGUAUGGUAUCUUGCUUCAUUGGGCACUUAUAUCAUCUUUUGAGGUCUGUUUACUGGGUAUAUUUGACAUUGUGGGUUCUUGUGAGAUGUUUAUAUGAGUUUUCACUCCUUGAGCCACUCUUGUUAUGCAUUUGGAGUGUUGGGGGUUCAUGUGAGAGUUCUAUGGUAUCCUAUGCUUCUCGGUCAUGGUUGAUACGUAUUAGGUAUGAGAGAUGAGUUUGAGAUUCAUCAACAAAGCAGCUUUUUAGACAUAGAGGGUUCCUUCAGUUUAGACUUUUCAGAGGUUUGUCACGAUGCAUCAGUUUCUUACCUAUUGAUUUCAGCGGAUGAUUGAUUUACUGGUUGUUUCAGCAGUGUGAGCACCCUGGAUACUGGGGCAUAUUUCCCUUCUUGGUUUCAGUAGUCCAACCCUUGACAUUUUGAGUAUGUGGCUUUGAGCCAAUUUAUUUCAUGUCCACUUUCGAGUUGGUCUUCUCUAUUAUUCCCUUCUAGGCCCUAAGCCUCAUAGCCCUGAGUUAUUCAUUUCUUCUAAGACCCCGAGUCUUAUAGCCCUAAGCUAUCCUUUUUCCCUUAGGCCCUGAGCCCGCUAGCCCUGAGCUAUCAUUUCCUAUAGACCCCGAGUCUUAUAACCCUGAGCUAUCCUUUUUCCCUUAGGCCCUGAGCUCGCUAGCCCUGAGCUAUCCUUUUUUUAGGCCCUGAGCCUCGUAGCCAUGAGUUAUCCAUUCCUUCUAGACCCUGAGUCUUAUAGCCCUGAGCUAUCUUUUUUCCCUUAGGCCCUGAGCCCGCUAGCCCUGAGCUAUCAUUUCCUACAGACCCAGAGUCUUUCCAGCUCUUAGCUGAGCUUUCAUCACUUGGUCGCCCAUGAGUGGUUUGACCUGGAGUUUGCGUAUCGCAUUCUCCUUCUAGCCGAUCAGUCAUAGAGCCCGGAGCUCAUAGCCCUGAGCUAUUCAUCGACCCAGAGUCAUUUUCCAUCUUGACCUAGAGUCAUUCAUAGCACCCCGAGCCCUGAGCUCACGACCCGGAGUCAUUUGCAUCAUUCACAUCCCUGAGAUGUUUCGUUUUCAUCAUUCUAGCCACUUGUGAGUGGCCUCGACCCGACACCUUGAGUCGGAAANNNNNNNNNNNNNNNNNNNNNNNNNNNNNNNNNNNNNNNNNNNNNNNNNNNNNNNNNNNNNNNNNNNNNNNNNNNNNNNNNNNNNNNNNNNNNNNNNNNNGCUCGCUAGCCUUGAGCUAUCUUUUUUUUGGGCCCUGAGCCUCGUAGCCAUGAGUUAUCCAUUCCUUCUAGACCCUGAGUCUUAUAGCCCUGAGCUAUCUUUUUUCCCUUAGGCCCUGAGCCCGCUAGCCCUGAGCUAUCAUUUCCUACAGACCCAGAGUCUUUCCAGCUCUUAGCUGAGCUUUCAUCACUUGGUCGCCCAUGAGUGGUUUGACCUGGAGUUUGCGUAUCGCAUUCUCCUUCUAGCCGAUCAGUCAUAGAGCCCGGAGCUCAUAGCCCUGAGCUAUUCAUCGACCCAGAGUCAUUUUCCAUCUUGACCUAGAGUCAUUCAUAGCACCCCGAGCCCUGAGCUCACGACCCGGAGUCAUUUGCAUCAUUCACAUCCCUGAGAUGUUUCGUUUUCAUCAUUCUAGCCACUUGUGAGUGGCCUCGACCCGACACCUUGAGUCGGAAAGUAUCCUGAUCGGCUAUCUAUUUAGAGCCCGGAGCUCUCGACCUAGAGUCAUUUUCCAUGUCGACACAGAGUCAUUUUCCAUUUUGACCCAGAGUCAUUCCUUUUUAUUUAGAGCCCGGAGCUCUCAACCCAGAGCCAUUUUCCAUUUUGAUCCAGAGUCAUUCCUUUCCAUUUAGAGCCCGGAGCUCUCGACCCAGAGUCACUUUCCAUUUCGACCCAGAGUCAUUAUUUCCUAUUUUAGAGCCCGGAGCUCUCGACCCAGAGUCACUUUCAUUCUUUCCUAUUUUAGAGCUUGGAGCUCUCGACCCAGAGUCACUUUCCAUUUUGACCCAGAGUCAUUCUUUCCUAUUUUAGAACUUGGAGCUCUCGACCCAGAGUCACUCUCCAUUUUAACCCAGAUUCAUUCUUUCCUAUUUAGAGCCUGGAGCCCUCGACCCAGAGUUGUUUUCCAUUUACGACCCAGAGUCAUUUCUUUUCCAUUUAGAGCCUAGGGCUCUCGACCUAGAGUCGUUCAUCCUAUUUUAGACCCAGAGUCGUUCAUCUUGUCCAUGACCUAUAUUCACUCAUCUCAUUCAUGACUUUGAGUCACCCUUUUCACCUCUUUCCAUCUCAUUGCGACCCCACCUUUUGACCUUACCUUUUCAUGUGCUAGGACAAAAUCUCUGGUCUUUCUUUAAUUCUUCGAUAUAGUUCACUUCAUUUCGCUCAUUACUCGUGUUUCUACUCACACUCUCUACACUCGUGAUCUAUACCGAAGAGGGGCAUAUUUGUAGACCCUCAAUUUUGUUCCUUUAGAACAUGUCUUUAAAUUCAUUUUUAAUGCUCCAUAGUAACUCAUUGGUGGCCCAUUACUACUCGUACAACUUACCUUUUUCUGAGUCACCUCGGAGACUUCGGUCGAGGGAUUAUCUGACCCUUUAUUGUGACCCUUGGCAACCCUAAUUUAGACUUAGCCUUUUGUUAUUCUUUUUAGGAUAACUUUUUAGAUACACCUGACCCAUUAGACACCACCCUAGGCCCACCUAGAUUCACCUUGACUCGCACCGAGACACCUCCUCAUUUACACACAUGUCACUUAGGUCACUUAGACACUUUUUUCAGAACAGGUCCAUUUAGACAUUUCAUUGAGGC
This 14737-nucleotide long non-coding RNA is filed under the name Vitis vinifera (wine grape). Its description in RNAcentral is "long non-coding RNA (VVIN_LNC005415)". Lineage: Eukaryota; Viridiplantae; Streptophyta; Magnoliopsida; Vitales; Vitaceae. The record is from RNAcentral.